ACUCCCAUGGCGUAGUGGUCACUGCGCUCGCCUUGCACGCGGGAGACCUGGGUUCGAUUCCCGGCGGGGUCA
Molecule: transfer RNA, 72 nt
Filed under: Diaphorina citri (Asian citrus psyllid)
Lineage: Eukaryota; Metazoa; Arthropoda; Insecta; Hemiptera; Psyllidae
Rfam family: tRNA
About the family: Transfer RNA (tRNA) molecules are approximately 80 nucleotides in length. Their secondary structure includes four short double-helical elements and three loops (D, anti-codon, and T loops).
Source: Rfam by way of RNAcentral